AUCCAGUUGACGAGUCCCAGAUAGAACGAAACGCGUGUCCUGGAU
RNAcentral lists this non-coding RNA (45 nucleotides) under Schistosoma curassoni. The record is from RNAcentral. Lineage: Eukaryota; Metazoa; Platyhelminthes; Trematoda; Strigeidida; Schistosomatidae.